RNAcentral lists this non-coding RNA (93 nucleotides) under uncultured Ruminococcus sp. RNAcentral describes it as "TPP riboswitch (THI element)". It matches the Rfam family "TPP riboswitch aptamer (THI element)", at positions 8 to 91 of the family's 105-position model. From Rfam's summary of the family: Vitamin B(1) in its active form thiamin pyrophosphate (TPP) is an essential coenzyme that is synthesised by coupling of pyrimidine and thiazole moieties in bacteria. The previously detected thiamin-regulatory element, thi box was extended, resulting in a new, highly conserved RNA secondary structure, the THI element, which is widely distributed in eubacteria and also occurs in some archaea. Lineage: Bacteria; Bacillati; Bacillota; Clostridia; Eubacteriales; Oscillospiraceae. The record is from RNAcentral.
GUCAGGGGAGCGUUCAGUAAACGCUGAGAGGGAAUUAUACAUUCCGACCCUUUGAACCUGAUACGGAUAAUACCGGUGCAGGAAGACCUUUGA